GACGAACGCUGGCGGCGUGCUUAACACAUGCAAGUCGAACGGAAAGGCCUGCUUUCCCUUGUGGAUUUCGUGUCCUCGAGUGGCGAACGGAUGAGUAACACGUGUGCGAUCUGCCCCCAACUUGCGUAUAAGCCUGGGAAACUGGGUCUAAUUCCCGUUAGGACUGCAGGGUGGAGCCGGUGGUGGCAAACGAUCUUCUAGUGGUUGGGGAUGAGCUCGCGGCCUAUCAGCUUGUUGGUGGGGUAAUGGCCUACCAAGGCGGCGACGGGUAGCCGGCCUGGGAGGGUGGACGGCCACAUUGGGACUGAGAUACGGCCCAGACUCCUACGGGAGGCAGCAGUGGGGAAUAUUGCACAAUGGGCGGAAGCCUGAUGCAGCGACGCCGCGUGGGGGAUGACGGCCUCCGGGUUGUAAACUCCUUUCGACCGCGAGGAAGCCACCUGGUUGGAAGGGUGGUGACGGUAGUGGUAGAAGAAGCACCGGCUAACUACGUG
RNAcentral lists this ribosomal RNA (494 nucleotides) under uncultured bacterium. RNAcentral describes it as "partial 16S ribosomal RNA". It matches the Rfam family "Bacterial small subunit ribosomal RNA", at positions 28 to 507 of the family's 1533-position model. The record is from RNAcentral.